RNAcentral lists this ribosomal RNA (253 nucleotides) under uncultured bacterium. RNAcentral describes it as "partial 16S ribosomal RNA". It matches the Rfam family "Bacterial small subunit ribosomal RNA", at positions 524 to 776 of the family's 1533-position model. The record is from RNAcentral.
AACGUAGGAGGCAAGCGUUAUCCGGAUUUACUGGGCGUAAAGGGCGUGCAGGUGGUUUAGUAAGUGGUGCGUGAAAGCGCUCGGCUCAACCGGGCGAGGCCGUGCCAAACUGCUGAACUAGAAACAGGUAGAGGAACAUGGAAUUCGGGGUGUAGUGGUGAAAUGCGUAGAGAUCCCGAGGAACUCCAGUGGCGAAGGCGAUGUUCUGGACCUGGUUUGACACUCAGACGCGAAAGCAUGGGGAGCGAACGGG